AGGGCCGCCCCCAGCGCUCUGAGGCAGGGGACGGGCGCUGAACCGAGCGGUGGGCGGAGGAGCGACUGCCCCUCCGACCGUUGGGGGCGCGGCCGUUGCUGCUGCUGCUGCCCCUCGACUCCGCGGAACGUACUUGAGUGCGUGGCGGUUGCGGGUUCUGUAGGCCGCGCGGGAGCUCGAGCCGUUGGUGUUGCUGCCUCUCGCCCCCGCGGGAGCACCGAGCACAAAACUGUUCUCGCAGGUGCUUCCCCGUUGGCCCUACGGAGCGAUAGGAACCAGAGCAGCGGCUCGUGCUGCCUCGAGUCAAGCUGCGGCGCUCUCAAAAGGACACUUUCCCAUGCCAUUCUGUAAGGCCUUCAAGGAUCAUCAUUUUGAAGAGGCUAGCAGUAAACAGCCCCAGCUGACCACUAAUCCUCUCAAGCAGCUUCCUUCUCUGGCCCUUGGAGACCCACAUCAUUAUAUCCUCAAGGACCAUCAUGAUCUGUAAUAAGUUAAGUAGUUGUUACUAUUCUAUACCAAAAAGUUACCAAGCCCCCAUGCCCAGCCAGCCCUCACAGCUACCAGGGUUUAAAAACAAAAACAAACAAACAAAAAAACCACACACACACACACAAAAACCACUCCCCUGUACUCACCAUGCAGUGUGCUCUUAAAGGCUUCUGAAGCAAUGGGAAUUGAGAGACAUAGUAGUUUUAUACACCUUAGAUGGGAAAAUGUAGACUGUUAUUGUCUGCUGUCUAGCAUCCCACUCCCCAAACACACACACCUAACAAUGGCUUUCUAUUUGUUUCACUAACCUCAGCUGGGGUAUCCUUUAGGAGUAUCCCUUCUACACCUGCUGAGCAACUCAGUCUGAGGAGGAGAGAGAGAACCAGACAAGAGAAGACAUGGUUUUCAAAUUGAUCCAGACUGCCCAGCACAGAGUCUAUGAGAUUCAAAAAUGGUGGGACCAUAUGCUUGAGGAGAGAGAGAGGAAGACAAAGAUUGAGAGAUGCACCAAGACAUCCUGCAGCUCUUAAAGGUCUCCAAUCCUUCCAGCAGCAGUGUCCCUGGCAUCGAGCCCCAAUGGACAAUAAUGAGAACUGCCGUGAACAUACCUGCUGCCUGAUGUGAUGUAGCUGCAUGCACCUUGCUAUUUAUUUAUAUAUUGUAAAUGAU
RNAcentral lists this long non-coding RNA (1158 nucleotides) under Terrapene triunguis (Three-toed box turtle). Its description in RNAcentral is "Terrapene carolina triunguis (Three-toed box turtle) lncRNA (ENSTMTG00000021988.1)". The record is from RNAcentral. Lineage: Eukaryota; Metazoa; Chordata; Testudines; Emydidae.